Molecule: long non-coding RNA, 1654 nt
Organism: Gopherus evgoodei (Goodes thornscrub tortoise)
Lineage: Eukaryota; Metazoa; Chordata; Testudines; Testudinidae
Exons: 5
Source: RefSeq, a predicted model, not a curated record
GAUUUAUGCUCUCAGCCAAUUGCAAAGCUGCUCUCUUCUCUGUCCCACCUACCACUUCCUCUCAUCUUUCUCUCUUUCAUCAUCACUGUGCUUCGUGCACGUUUCCUGUUCCUGUGCUCCUGGACCAGCGUGCUCGGCUGAAAAUGGAAUUGAUGAGCUGGGAGGAAACAGUUGCUUUGGAGAAAUGGCACGGUUCCAGAUAUGGGGCUCAGUGAGCUGGUAUGAGAUUGGCUUUUUACAGAGGAAUGGAGAAUCCCUGCCCAGGGGAUUGUGGAGAGGCUGAGGAUGAAGACUGACUCCCCAGCGCCAUGAAAUGAUCGGGGCUGAAGUGGAAAAAUUAAGUACUGUAACUGAAUCUUGAAAAUGGUCUGUAAUGAAACAUCCUGGACCUGAGCGCCAAGGACAGUAGGGGGCAAGAACUCUGAAGACAAGAAUUGCUGGUUUCGCUUCUCCCUCCUCACCCUGGAUCCCUUCUAGGAAUCACAGAUGGAUGAUUUGAGAUGAGCCUUAAAGGAAAGGAAAAUGUAUCUUUCUCUCCACCAGCAUCAACUGUAAGAGAGAAUUUGGGGCCUGAAGAUUAAAAGAUUUGCCCCAUCUCCAAUCUGCAUUACAAAGACUCUUUGAAGUUAUGUCCAGGAAAGGCUAUACUAAAAACAGGAUAAAUAAUAAAACUAGAUUGAAUGGAUGUGUAAAAGUUGGGUGUUUUUUGUACAAAAGGGCAGUGGUAGAACUGGGGGAAAUGGAGCUUUAUCAACUCUAAUCCACUGGUCUGAAUUUAGCCCAGGUCAAUAGUGGCUGUAGUUGGGAUUUUCAUAGGAAAUUUAAGGGAGUUAGAUGCCAUGCUGCUUUAGUUCCUUUGAAAAUCCCAUCUUUAAUGCAUUGCAAUUUUCAGUUGCCCUUUCUGUGAAAUAAGUUAGGGCUUGAUCUCAUAUCUGAGAUAAAAAUACCUGGACAAGUAUUGUAAAACUCCUAGUCACUAGUGUCUAUGCACUUGUACAAAAUUGAGGAUCAGGAUGGUAACAAACAUUGAUCUAUUUACUGCUGUGUCCAAAACUACUUUCCAUUCUUCCAUGAAUUGACUCCACUAUGUCCACUAUCUGUUUUCUACUACCAACACCAUUUAGGUUAGGCUGAGAUUUUCAGAUGCACUCAGGAUUUGGACACCCGGUUCCCAAUUAAAAAAUAAUGGGAAUUUACUAGGCAAAUCCCGUAAAUUUGAAAAUCUUAACCUAAAUACAUUUAAACCAUGUCUCCCCCACCCUACAGGUGCACACUCGCACCUCUGACACCAGCUCAGACCUUUAUUUCGUGCUUCGAAUGUUGGCAUCCUCUAUCAUCCUGUUUUCUCUUCACCCCACAUAAACAGACGUAGAUCCUUUCCCAUUGACCUGGGGGCCACCACUGCAGUUCUGCUACAUCUAGCAGCUGUUGUGCUGAACAGCUGGGAGACAGUGAGAGAGAUGGAGCUGAGAGGCAAUGCUAUGUGAACCAAAUUCAGCAACAUGUAGUUUUGAGUUUAGGUAACCAGGGGAGUUCUGUUGAAGUCAGGACAAAUUUUCAGUGUCAGAAGCAGAGAUGCCAAGCUGGACCCUCAAAACCAGGGCCACCUCAGGCUACGUCUUCACUACCGGCCGUAUUGGCGGGUAGCAAUCGA